Molecule: ribosomal RNA, 468 nt
Filed under: uncultured bacterium
Lineage: Bacteria
Description: partial 16S ribosomal RNA
Rfam family: Bacterial small subunit ribosomal RNA
Source: RNAcentral
GACGAACGCUGGCGGCGUGCUUAACACAUGCAAGUCGAACGGAAAGGCCCUGCUUUUGUGGGGUGCUCGAGCGGCGAACGGGUGAGUAACACGUGAGUAACCUGCCCUUGACUUUGGGAUAACUUCAGGAAACUGGGGCUAAUACCGGAUAGGAGCUCCUGCUGCAUGGUGGGGGUUGGAAAGUUUCGGCGGUUGGGGAUGGACUCGCGGCUUAUCAGCUUGUUGGUGGGGUAGUGGCUUACCAAGGCUUUGACGGGUAGCCGGCCUGAGAGGGUGACCGGCCACAUUGGGACUGAGAUACGGCCCAGACUCCUCCGGGAGGCAGCAGUGGGGAAUAUUGCACAAUGGGCGGAAGCCUGAUGCAGCAACGCCGCGUGCGGGAUGACGGCCUUCGGGUUGUAAACCGCUUUCGCCUGUGACGAAGCGUGAGUGACGGUAAUGGGUAAAGAAGCACCGGCUAACUACGUG